MicroRNA precursor from Oryza sativa Japonica Group (Japanese rice), 208 nucleotides. It matches the Rfam family "MIR812 microRNA precursor family". NCBI's taxonomy places the organism in Eukaryota, Viridiplantae, Streptophyta, Magnoliopsida, Poales, Poaceae. The record is from Rfam.
AAUAAGUGCAGUUUUACACUAUUCACGUUCAACGUUGGACCGUUCGUCUUAUUUAAAAAAAUUUUAUGAUUAGUAUUUUUAUUGCUAUUAGAUGAUAAAACAUGAAUAGUACUUUAUGCGUGACUAAAUAUUUUUAAAUUUUUCAUAAAUUUUUCAAAUAAGACGGAAGGUCAAACGUUAAGCACGGAUAUCCACGGCUACACUUAUU